UACGAGCUGAAGACUCUGGGUCACCUCCCACCCGUGUCUAUCGUACCUUGUUGCUUCGGCGGGCCCGCCGUUUCGACGGCCGCCGGGGAGGCCUUGCGCCCCCGGGCCCGCGCCCGCCGAAGACCCCAACAUGAACGCUGUUCUGAAAGUAUGCAGUCUGAGUUGAUUAUCGUAAUCAGUUAAAACUUUCAACAACGGAUCUCUUGGUUCCGGCAUCGAUGAAGAACGCAGCGAAAUGCGAUAAGUAAUGUGAAUUGCAGAAUUCAGUGAAUCAUCGAGUCUUUGAACGCACAUUGCGCCCCCUGGUAUUCCGGGGGGCAUGCCUGUCCGAGCGUCAUUGCUGCCCUCAAGCACGGCUUGUGUGUUGGGCCCCCGUCCCCCUCUCCCGGGGGACGGGCCCGAAAGGCAGCGGCGGCACCGCGUCCGGUCCUCGAGCGUAUGGGGCUUUGUCACCUGCUCUGUAGGCCCGGCCGGCGCCAGCCGACACCCAACUUUAUUUUUCUAAGGUUGACCUCGGAUCAGGU
This 524-nucleotide ribosomal RNA is filed under the name Aspergillus fumigatus. Its description in RNAcentral is "eukaryotic LSU rRNA". The stretch from base 184 to 337 matches the Rfam family "5.8S ribosomal RNA". Lineage: Eukaryota; Fungi; Ascomycota; Eurotiomycetes; Eurotiales; Aspergillaceae. The record is from RNAcentral.